GGGUUGUGAGGUUAAGCGACUAAGCGUACACGGUGGAUGCCCUGGCAGUCAGAGGCGAUGAAGGACGUGCUAAUCUGCGAUAAGCGUCGGUAAGGUGAUAUGAACCGUUAUAACCGGCGAUUUCCGAAUGGGGAAACCCAGUGUGUUUCGACACACUAUCAUUAACUGAAUCCAUAGGUUAAUGAGGCGAACCGGGGGAACUGAAACAUCUAAGUACCCCGAGGAAAAGAAAUCAACCGAGAUUCCCCCAGUAGCGGCGAGCGAACGGGGAGCAGCCCAGAGCCUGAAUCAGUGUGUGUGUUAGUGGAAGCGUCUGGAAAGGCGCGCGAUACAGGGUGACAGCCCCGUACACAAAAAUGCACAUAUUGUGAGCUCGAUGAGUAGGGCGGGACACGUGGUAUCCUGUCUGAAUAUGGGGGGACCAUCCUCCAAGGCUAAAUACUCCUGACUGACCGAUAGUGAACCAGUACCGUGAGGGAAAGGCGAAAAGAACCCCGGCGAGGGGAGUGAAAAAGAACCUGAAACCGUGUACGUACAAGCAGUGGGAGCCUCUUUUAUGGGGUGACUGCGUACCUUUUGUAUAAUGGGUCAGCGACUUAUAUUCUGUAGCAAGGUUAACCGAAUAGGGGAGCCGAAGGGAAACCGAGUCUUAACUGGGCGUUAAGUUGCAGGGUAUAGACCCGAAACC
This 688-nucleotide ribosomal RNA is filed under the name Escherichia coli. Its description in RNAcentral is "partial 23S ribosomal RNA". It matches the Rfam family "Bacterial large subunit ribosomal RNA", at positions 1 to 722 of the family's 2925-position model. Lineage: Bacteria; Pseudomonadati; Pseudomonadota; Gammaproteobacteria; Enterobacterales; Enterobacteriaceae. The record is from RNAcentral.